GACGAACCGUGCGAACGUUGUUCGGAAUCACUGGGCUUAAAGGGCGCGUAGGCGGGUCAGCAAGUCCGGGGUGAAAUCUUUCGGCUCAACCGGAAAAGUGCCUUGGAUACUGCUGGUCUCGAGGGAGGUAGGGGUUUGUGGAACUUCUGGUGGAGCGGUGAAAUGCGUUGAUAUCAGAAGGAACGCCGGUGGCGAAAGCGACGAACUGGACCUCUUCUGACGCUGAGGCGCGAAAGCUAGGGGAGCAAACGGG
RNAcentral lists this ribosomal RNA (253 nucleotides) under uncultured bacterium. RNAcentral's name for it is "partial 16S ribosomal RNA". It matches the Rfam family "Bacterial small subunit ribosomal RNA", at positions 524 to 776 of the family's 1533-position model. The record is from RNAcentral.